UGUCUUACAAAACAAGGCAGAUAUCAUGAUCACAAAGGUGGGUCACCCAGGGCGAGGCUCAGCCAUUGGACUCCAGUUGAGCUGAUUCUUGUGAAUUCCCCACAUGAGGGAAUCUCUACUGCAGAAUUUCUUCCUAACAGGCACCGGACUAGCUUCCUCCCCAC
Sphaeramia orbicularis (orbiculate cardinalfish) is the source of this 164-nucleotide small nuclear RNA. Its record names the gene U1. It matches the Rfam family "U1 spliceosomal RNA". From Rfam's summary of the family: U1 is a small nuclear RNA (snRNA) component of the spliceosome (involved in pre-mRNA splicing). Its 5' end forms complementary base pairs with the 5' splice junction, thus defining the 5' donor site of an intron. The record is from Ensembl. NCBI's taxonomy places the organism in Eukaryota, Metazoa, Chordata, Actinopteri, Kurtiformes, Apogonidae.